Molecule: long non-coding RNA, 879 nt
Organism: Tribolium castaneum (red flour beetle)
Lineage: Eukaryota; Metazoa; Arthropoda; Insecta; Coleoptera; Tenebrionidae
Exons: 3
Source: RefSeq, a predicted model, not a curated record
UUAUAAUCGCAGGUUUUGGGAGUAGUGUUCUUUAUGCAAUGCCAACGGAGAAAGACAACGAGAUUUUCUUCAUUAUGACUUGGUUUAAAGACAAUUUGUUGGAGUGGGCUGAUAUUUUAUCUUUGUGUCAUCGAAUAGGUUUCCUUUUUGUUUCUGUGAUAAUGCAAGUUCCUUGUAUACAAAUCUGCUACAUGAUUAAACAUACUCAGUAUCUAGUAGGCAUCUUAAAAAGCAUUCUAGAAAAUGUGCAUCAAGGAUUUGAUAAUUUGGACGAACUCGUUUACGACGAUAAAUUUCACAAAGAAAUAAAAAGAAGAUUAGUGUUUAGUACAAAACGCCAUAUUAACCUCGUUCUACUAGGGAGGAAAAUUGUCAGAGACACUGGUCUUUUUGUAUUUUUUUUCUCCAUUAGCGGAGCAAUGUUGGGCAUAAGUCUAAUGAUGCUUUUCUAUGUGGUUGAGGAUACACCGACUUUUGUGAAUGUGCGUCUUUGUGGUCUGAUUUUUGCGGCUACAAUAACAGGGAUGUUAUAUGUGAUACAAGGCCAAAACAUUGAAGAUAUUAGCGUUGAGUUAUUUGAAACUGUGACCCAAAUGGACUGGCAUUACUGGAAUGAAGAAAAUAAAAGAAUUUAUCAGAUUAUGUUUCUUAACACUUUUUAGCCAUUUUCUAUCAGAUUUUCUGAGAAUAUGGCAGUAAAUUACAAAUUAGGAAUUGAGGUAGAUGCAAACAAAGCGAUUCUUUUUACAUCAAAUUUUUCUAGUUGGCAAAAGCUGUAUACUCCAUGAUGUCAUUCAUGACGUAUGUGUCAUUAAAAGUUAAUUAAGCACAAAAACUCACUUUUAAAAUUUCUAGCACCAAAUAUAGCACCUAAGUUAA